This 714-nucleotide long non-coding RNA is filed under the name Lathyrus oleraceus (garden pea). RNAcentral describes it as "Pisum sativum (pea) long non-coding RNA (PSAT_LNC040631)". The record is from RNAcentral. Lineage: Eukaryota; Viridiplantae; Streptophyta; Magnoliopsida; Fabales; Fabaceae.
UCAAGAAAUGAGAAGAUUGAUAGUGUUAUUAGUGUUCUUGUUUUGCUAAAUUUUGUAUAUUGUUAUCAAGAAAUGAGAAGAUUGAUAGUGUUAUUAGUGUUCUUAUUUUGCUAAAUUUUGUAUAUUGUUAUCAAGAAAUGAGAAGAUUGAUAGUGUUAUUAGUGUUCUUGUUUUGUUAAAUAUUGUAUAUUGUUAUCAAGAAAUGAGAAGGUUGAUAGUGUUAUUAGUGUUCUUGUUUUGUUAAAUAUUGUAGAUUGUUAUCAAGAAGUGAGAAGAUUGAUAGUGUUAUUAGUGUUCUUGUUAUCAAGAAACGUUUGACGCUGACCCUUUAGCAAAAUCUCUCAAAAAUGAAAGGCAUUGUCAUGGGGAAUUCUCCAUGGCUUCUGUUCAGUCAAAUAAGGAUAUGGAAGAUCACAACCAAGUCGAUGUAAGUCAUGACGCACUGUUCGUUCGAUUUUAUGAUGGCUUCAAAGGCCACACCACUGCUUCCUAUAUUCGUCCGCACAUCUUUAGGACUCUAUUACGUGAGUUAUUUAUUUGCUUCUUUUUUCUUAGCAUACUAAUCUGUAUAUUGUUAUCAAGAAAUGAGAAGAUUGAUAGUGUUAUUAUUGUUCUUGUUUUGCUAAAUUUUGUAUAUUGUUAUCAAGAAAUGGGAAGAUUGAUAGUGUUAUUAGUGUUCUUGUUUUGCUAAAUUUUGUAGAUUGUUAUCAAGAA